This 402-nucleotide ribosomal RNA is filed under the name uncultured Rhodopseudomonas sp. RNAcentral's name for it is "bacterial SSU rRNA". It matches the Rfam family "Bacterial small subunit ribosomal RNA", at positions 355 to 774 of the family's 1533-position model. Lineage: Bacteria; Pseudomonadati; Pseudomonadota; Alphaproteobacteria; Hyphomicrobiales; Nitrobacteraceae. The record is from RNAcentral.
UGGGGAAUAUUGGACAAUGGGCGCAAGCCUGAUCCAGCCAUGCCGCGUGAGUGAUGAAGGCCCUAGGGUUGUAAAGCUCUUUUGUGCGGGAAGAUAAUGACGGUACCGCAAGAAUAAGCCCCGGCUAACUUCGUGCCAGCAGCCGCGGUAAUACGAAGGGGGCUAGCGUUGCUCGGAAUCACUGGGCGUAAAGGGUGCGUAGGCGGGUUUCUAAGUCAGAGGUGAAAUCCUGGAGCUCAACUCCAGAACUGCCUUUGAUACUGGAAGUCUUGAGUAUGGGAGAGGUGAGUGGAACUGCGAGUGUAGAGGUGAAAUUCGUAGAUAUUCGCAAGAACACCAGUGGCGAAGGCGGCUCACUGGCCCAUUACUGACGCUGAGGCACGAAAGCGUGGGGAGCAAACA